GGACCCGUGGCCCAAUUGGCAAGGCGCUUGACUACGAUUUUCUCUGCCUCUUUGCAAUCAAGAGAUUCUGGGUUCGAAUCCCAGCGGGUUCA
Molecule: non-coding RNA, 92 nt
Organism: Ascosphaera aggregata
Lineage: Eukaryota; Fungi; Ascomycota; Eurotiomycetes; Onygenales; Ascosphaeraceae
Source: the annotation of a GenBank genome assembly